AAAAAAGGUAAGCUACUAAGAGCGAAUGGUGGAUGCCUUGACUGGUAAAGGCGAUGAAGGACGUACUAGACUGCGAUAAGCUACGGGGAGCUGUCAAGAAGCUUUGAUCCGUAGAUUUCCGAAUGGGGCAACCCAAUGUAUAGAGAUAUACAUUACCUAUAUAGGAGCGAACGAGGGGAAUUGAAACAUCUUAGUACCCUCAGGAAAAGAAAUCAAUAGAGAUUGCGUCAGUAGCGGCGAGCGAAAGCGCAAGAGGGCAAACCCAGUGCUUGCACUGGGGGUUGUAGGACUGCAAUGUGCAAGAGGUGAGUUUAGCAGAACAUUCUGGAAAGUAUAGCCAUAGAGGGUGAUAGUCCCGUAUGCGAAAAACAAACCUUAGCUAGCAGUAUCCUGAGUAGGGCGGGACACGAGAAAUCCUGUCUGAAGCUGGGUCGACCACGAUCCAACCCUAAAUACUAAUACCAGAUCGAUAGUGCACAAGUACCGUGAGGGAAAGGUGAAAAGAACUGAGGUGAUCAGAGUGAAAUAGAACCUGAAACCAUUUGCUUACAAUCAUUCAGAGCCCUAUGUAGCAAUACAGGGUGAUGGACUGCCUUUUGCAUAAUGAGCCUGCGAGUUGUGGUGUCUGGCAAGGUUAAGCAAACGCGAAGCCGUAGCGAAAGCGAGUCUGAAUAGGGCGCUUAGUCAGAUGCUGCAGACCCGAAACGAAGUGAUCUAUCCAUGAGCAAGUUGAAGCUAGUGUAAGAACUAGUGGAGGACUGAACCCAUAGGCGUUGAAAAGCCCCGGGAUGACUUGUGGAUAGGGGUGAAAGGCCAAUCAAACUUCGUGAUAGCUGGUUCUCUCCGAAAUAUAUUUAGGUAUAGCGUUGUGUCGUAAUAUAAGGGGGUAGAGCACUGAAUGGGCUAGGGCAUACACCAAUGUACCAAACCCUAUCAAACUCCGAAUACCUUAUAUGUAAUCACAGCAGUCAGGCGGCGAGUGAUAAAAUCCGUCGUCAAGAGGGAAACAACCCAGACUACCAGCUAAGGUCCCUAAAUCUUACUUAAGUGGAAAACGAUGUGAAGUUACUUAAACAACCAGGAGGUUGGCUUAGAAGCAGCCAUCCUUUAAAGAAAGCGUAAUAGCUCACUGGUCUAGUGAUUUUGCGCGGAAAAUAUAACGGGGCUAAAGUAAGUACCGAAGCUGUAGACUUGCGCACAACUUAGAUUAUUUAAGUUUAGAAUAUGAGAAACUAAGUUAUAUGUUUAGUUAUAUUUUUACUGAUUUUUAUAGAGUAAAGAUAGAAAUAAAACUUAGUAAAAUCAGUAAAAAUAUUCUUAGACUAAAGUUAAGUAGUUUAAGUUGUGUGCAAGUGGUAGGAGAGCGUUCUAUUUGCGUCGAAGGUAUACCGGUAAGGAGUGCUGGAGCGAAUAGAAGUGAGCAUGCAGGCAUGAGUAGCGAUAAUUAAUGUGAGAAUCAUUAACGCCGUAAACCCAAGGUUUCCUACGCGAUGCUCGUCAUCGUAGGGUUAGUCGGGUCCUAAGUCGAGUCCGAAAGGGGUAGACGAUGGCAAAUUGGUUAAUAUUCCAAUACCAACAUUAGUGUGCGAUGGAAGGACGCUUAGGGCUAAGGGGGCUAGCGGAUGGAAGUGCUAGUCUAAGGUCGUAGGAGGUUAUACAGGCAAAUCCGUAUAACAAUACUCCGAGAACUGAAAGGCUUUUUGAAGUCUUCGGAUGGAUAGAAGAACCCCUGAUGCCAUCGAGCCAAGAAAAGUUUCUAAGUUUAGCUAAUGUUGCCCGUACCGUAAACCGACACAGGUGGGUGGGAUGAGUAUUCUAAGGCGCGUGGAAGAACUCUCUUUAAGGAACUCUGCAAAAUAGCACCGUAUCUUCGGUAUAAGGUGUGGUUCGCUUCGUAUUAGGAUUUACUCCGAAAGCGAAGAAACUUACAACAAAGAGUCCCUCCCGACUGUUUACCAAAAACACAGCACUCUGCUAACUCGUAAGAGGAUGUAUAGGGUGUGACGCCUGCCCGGUGCUCGAAGGUUAAUUGAUGGGGUUAGCAUUAGCGAAGCUCUUGAUCGAAGCCCGAGUAAACGGCGGCCGUAACUAUAACGGUCCUAAGGUAGCGAAAUUCCUUGUCGGUUAAAUACCGACCUGCAUGAAUGGCGUAACGAGAUGGGAGCUGUCUCAAAGAGGGAUCCAGUGAAAUUGUAGUGGAGGUGAAAAUUCCUCCUACCCGCGGCAAGACGGAAAGACCCCGUGGACCUUUACUACAGCUUGACACUGCUAUUUGGAUAAGAAUGUGCAGGAUAGGUGG
RNAcentral lists this ribosomal RNA (2299 nucleotides) under Campylobacter coli. Its description in RNAcentral is "partial 23S ribosomal RNA". It matches the Rfam family "Bacterial large subunit ribosomal RNA", at positions 1 to 2150 of the family's 2925-position model. Lineage: Bacteria; Pseudomonadati; Campylobacterota; Epsilonproteobacteria; Campylobacterales; Campylobacteraceae. The record is from RNAcentral.